GAUGAAGAACGUAGCGAAAUGCGAUAAGUAAUGUGAAUUGCAGAAUUCAGUGAAUCAUCGAAUCUUUGAACGCACAUUGCGCCCCUUGGUAUUCCGAGGGGCAUGCCUGUUCGAGCGUCAUUACAACCCUCAAGCUCUGCUUGGUGUUGGGCCCCGCCGCCCCGGCGGGCCCUAAAGUCAGUGGCGGUGCCAUCCGGCUCCGAGCGUAGUAAUUCUUCUCGCUCUGGAGGUCCGGUUGUGUGCUUGCCAUCAACCCCCAAUUUUUUUCAGGUUGACCUCGGAUCAGGUAGGGAUACCCGCUGAACUUAAGCAUAUCAAUAAGCGGAGGA
This 329-nucleotide unclassified non-coding RNA is filed under the name soil metagenome. RNAcentral describes it as "partial contains 5.8S ribosomal RNA, internal transcribed spacer 2, and large subunit ribosomal RNA". The stretch from base 1 to 120 matches the Rfam family "5.8S ribosomal RNA", at positions 35 to 154 of the family's 154-position model. The record is from RNAcentral.